RNAcentral lists this long non-coding RNA (1297 nucleotides) under Hordeum vulgare. RNAcentral describes it as "long non-coding RNA (HVUL_LNC000392)". The record is from RNAcentral. Lineage: Eukaryota; Viridiplantae; Streptophyta; Magnoliopsida; Poales; Poaceae.
UAAGAAUCUGAUACCAUGUUAGGAAUGGGCAACUAACAUUCACAGAAGGUCAAGGGCCAGUACAUAUACAUGUGGAGAAGAUAAGAAACCCCUUAUACAAUGGGGAUACACAUCUACCAUAUACAACUUGUAUAGAGACACUAGUUAGUCAUAACUAUCUGGAUUCUAAUUUUGUAACAUUGUCAAACAAAUGGUGGAGAAGGAACAUACGUGUAAACAAAGCCACUUGAAUCAACUGCAACUGCAACAUCCAAGUAUAGCAAAGGUUUUAAUAUCAGUGCUGAUCCCGAAGACUCAAAUUAACAAGAAAAAGAAAGAAAGGAAAAUAACCUGUGUGAUUCGUUCCACAUGCAACUUUGACAACGGUCUUCCCAGAUAAUGCAACUAUUGCCCUGGGGUUGGGCUGGGGAUCAUAUGCUAGCCUUACCGAUGAUACAUUGGCAAUAUACUGUAACAUCAUAAAUUAAAUCACAAUUACUGAUGAUAGCAUAUUUAGUAGGUGUGACUGUUAACAGAGUAGCAGUCAACCUCAUUAUCGCUUCCAUGACCAAGUUGACCGUACUGGGGAAGACCUGUUGUGCUGAAUAGCACAGAAGAACAAAGUACAUAUUAAAAACAUUGACGAACAAGAACAAAACCACUAAAUACAGCCAAAGCAGAUACUAAUCAAACAAUGUUAUUAUGAGAAGAUGAUCAAUCAAAGCCUGUUACUUAUUCUGAAAGAGGAAAGAGGUAACUAAUAUUUAAGUUUCAUAGUUUCAGCAAGGCCAUACAGUAUGGAAGAGCCCUCAACUGAUGACAGCCAGACAUUAAAGUUAGCACCACAAAUAGCAUUAGUUGCUUUAGUAACAAGGGAGGGGACUGGCUGACACCUUAGUUCCUGCAACGUAAGGACCUAACAGAAAAAUGAGCUUCCCAUAUGGUGAAAUUCCCAUGACGUUGUCAGAACUAUCCCAUCGUCCUAAACAAUAUAAGUUCUGUAUGGUCAUGGCAUAAAUAUUACUAUUGGUUUCGUUAUCACCCAAACAGGUAACACCAUAACAGAACACAACUGUAGAUUAUAGUACUAAUGUCUCAUCAAGCAACACUCUGGAAAUGUCAAAAAGUGAAGUAUGCUCCUAACAGAAAAUGAUAUUUCCACUGAGCAGUGUAUUUGUUGCACUUCUAGUUGUGUCAUCUAUCAAUCAUAAAAAUAAAGGAAAAGGUGAGGGAGUCAACCACUCCUUAGUGAACCCAUCCCCAACUGGCCAUGUUUGUUGUCACCAAAUGCAAAGGACUCCCCUUCGUCAGUUACGAC